GGCUCUGAAUUUUCUUUAAUAAAAAAUGUUUUAUUUUAAAAAAUCUUUUAAUGCUCAAAAUAGUAUUCAGAAUUAGUUAUCUAAAGAAAAUUUUAUGUAUUGAAUUGUUUAAAUUAGAGUUCGCACACGCAAUAAUUUCUCUUAAAUUCAUCCUGAUUGAGCUUGAAUAAGAAUCCAAUAUUGUUCAUGAUAAACUUGAAAGCAAUAUCUUGAAAUUUUCGUUAGACUUAUCCUGCUUGAAGACAAAAAAAUUUCGUAGUUGUCUUGUUAAAUUUAAAUAAUAAAAAAGGAUAAAAUACUGCAACUUGCUAUUAGAUUUAUCUUGUUUAGAGUGGACUAAAAAUCGAAAUUAUUCAUCAUUAUCUUGUCCGACACGCGUGUCCGAUUUUAAUUUUAAUUUUUUAAAUUGCGACACUCCAAUGCCAUGUCGGACACGUGUUCGUGCCGUGUCCGACGCGUGUCCGUGCCCGACACUUGUCCGACACUGCAUACUUAAGCGGAGUGUCGGUGCAUCAUAGUCUCUAAUUAAUUGUUUGAACUAGCAAUGUAUGAACAUUUUCAAUGAAGAUUUAUUUAAUCUAAAUGAGAUUAAUUGUAAUGGGUUAUGAUCUUCGUUCAUGUAGACUUUUGUGGCGAACUAAUAUUUUGCUGGAAAUACUAUGUACUAUUUGUUGUGUAUAUAUGUGCAGAUUUUUCACCUCUUGUAAAAUCUUACUCGAAAGAUAUGUUUGCAUAUCAAUCUUUUGUUUUGCUUAACUAUAUUUGAGGCUAUAUAAAUUCCCUUUCCUUUUGCAAAUGAUUGUGCAUAUUCUUGAGAUUGUUUGUGCCUAUUUAUAUGUUUAGUUGCUUCGAUCGUCAUAUAUGCUGGUUUUGAAAUUUUAGUUGAAAUAAAAAUAGUGAUGGAUGAAGAUUAGGAAACUAUUAUGCAAAUGUAUUCAUUGAAGAUUAGAGACUUUUUAAGUUAAUUAACUAUAUUCAUCGGCAUGUCUUUAUGUAUUGGUGUUGUUUUGGGUCUUCAAAUAGAUAUGAAUCUCUAUGCGUAUUUUAUCUGAUUUAGGCAUGUAAUUAAAUACAUUGAGAUUGAUAUGAUCACAAACAUUUUAAAAUCACUUGAUGAUUUUAUAAACUUCAGAAUAGUGUAACAUAGAGGGGAUGCCAUUUAAUCCUUCGUACGUAGUUUAUAUGCAUAGUUAUACUCAAAUAUCAUCACAAAUUUCAUUUGCACAUCAAUUAAAAAAAAAUCAAGAUAUAUUAACCUCUAACAUAUACUAUCUUUUUUGUGUUUUAGUAGCCAUGUGUUGAAUAUACAUAAGCCUUUUUUUUAUAAUAAGUUUUGUUAGUGAUCAUCUCAUUGUGUUUUUUGAAUUCUAAUUACAAUUGAGAUGAUUGUAUGCCUUUUAGUUUCUCAAACCAUGUUUAUGGACAUACUUAUUCUCAUAUAAUAUCUUGAAUUUCAUAUGCAUAUGAAUUUAAAUAUUAAAAUACAUGAAAUUCUGACACCUACUUCUCUCUUCGCAUUAUUUGUGAGGUAUAUUUGGAGCUUUUGGAGCAAUAGAUGAAGGAGCCUAUAAAUACGAGUAUUAGUCGUCUCCAUUCAUUCCGAUGGUGUGCUACAGGUAGAACCACCGGGUCAUAGCCCCCGGUGCUAAUUUUCUCGAGCUAACAGUGCCGAACUCUGCUAAAGGAAACACUAUCAAAUUAUGCUACAAUCCUUUAGCCACUGUGCCGCUGAUUGGAGACUUUCCACUGUGCAGAAAUGCUCUGCUAUAUACUACCGAUUCCAACUAUAGAAAGUUCUGCAUUCCUUCUCUGCUCUGUAUACAUAACUUCAUUCUUAUUAUUUUCGGUUCCACUACUUCACGUGAAUAACCCCACCAAUAACUGCUUCUGUUUCACCAUCAUUACCUGUAAUUUUUAGAUAUUAUAACUCCUUAAGAUAGAACCUCCUUAUUUUGCAUAUAUAGGAUGAUUGAUUGUAUUUAAGAUGUUAGCUAGCAACUCGCUUCAAGAAAGCAUAAGCCCAGAUUGUAUAUCCCUCAGUAUUUCUCUUUUCACUUCUGAUAAAUUCUGGAUAUGUCAUUUCUCCUAGGAUAAUAAAUUCAAUCUUCGAUCUUCUAAACUCAAA
This is a long non-coding RNA of Dendrobium catenatum, 2125 nucleotides long. RefSeq lists it as uncharacterized. The record is from RefSeq and is a predicted model, not a curated record. The transcript is spliced from 2 exons. NCBI's taxonomy places the organism in Eukaryota, Viridiplantae, Streptophyta, Magnoliopsida, Asparagales, Orchidaceae.